RNAcentral lists this ribosomal RNA (461 nucleotides) under uncultured bacterium. RNAcentral describes it as "SSU rRNA". It matches the Rfam family "Bacterial small subunit ribosomal RNA", at positions 26 to 518 of the family's 1533-position model. The record is from RNAcentral.
AGAAUCAACGCUGGCGGCGUGCCUAACACAUGCAAGUCGCACGAGAAAGGGACUUCGGUCCUGAGUACAGUGGCGCACGGGUGAGUAACACGUGAAUAAUCUACCUCCGAGUGGGGGAAUAACUGAGAGAAAUCUUAGCUAAUACCGCAUAACACUUACGAGUCAAAGCAGCAAUGCGCUUGGAGAGGAGUUCGCGGCAGAUUAGUUAGUUGGCGGGGUAAUGGCCCACCAAGACGAUGAUCUGUAUCCGGCCUGAGAGGGCGCACGGACACACUGGAACUGAAACACGGUCCAGACUCCUACGGGAGGCAGCAGUGGGGAAUUUUGCGCAAUGGGGGAAACCCUGACGCAGCAACGCCGCGUGGAGGAUGAAAUCCCUUGGGAUGUAAACUCCUUUCGAUAGGGAAGAUAAUGACGGUACCUAUAGAAGAAGCCCGGCUAACUUCGCGCCAGCAGCCGAC